UACGUAGGGGGCAAGCGUUGUCCGGAUUUAUUGGGCGUAAAGAGCGUGUAGGCGGCCAGACAGGUCUGCUGUGAAAACUCGAGGCUCAACCUCGAGACGCCGGUGGAAACCGUCUGGCUAGAGUCCGGAAGAGGAGAGUGGAAUUCCUGGUGUAGCAGUGAAAUGCGCAGAUAUCAGGAGGAACACCGGUGGCGAAGGCGGGACUCUGGGCCGAUACUGACGCUGAGGAGCGAAAGUGUGGGGAGCGAACAGG
RNAcentral lists this ribosomal RNA (253 nucleotides) under uncultured bacterium. RNAcentral's name for it is "partial 16S ribosomal RNA". It matches the Rfam family "Bacterial small subunit ribosomal RNA", at positions 524 to 776 of the family's 1533-position model. The record is from RNAcentral.